This 520-nucleotide ribosomal RNA is filed under the name Hemiramphus brasiliensis. RNAcentral describes it as "partial 16S large subunit ribosomal RNA". It matches the Rfam family "Bacterial large subunit ribosomal RNA", at positions 1923 to 2591 of the family's 2925-position model. Lineage: Eukaryota; Metazoa; Chordata; Actinopteri; Beloniformes; Hemiramphidae. The record is from RNAcentral.
UUUAACGGCCGCGGUAUCUUAACCGUGCGAAGGUAGCGCAAUCACUUGUUUCUUAAAUGGAGACCUGUAUGAAUGGCAUUACGAGGGCCGAACUGUCUCCUUCCCCUAGUCAAUGAAAUUGAUCUCCCCGUGCAGAAGCGGGGAUAAAAACAUAAGACGAGAAGACCCUUUGGAGCUUGAGACUAUAGACAGACCAUGCUCGUAAGACCAAAUAAAAGGUUAUAAGCCAAUUGGACAACACUGCUCUAAUGUCUUUGGUUGGGGCGACCGAGGGGAAACAAAAAACCCCCAUGUGGAGCAGGAGAACUUUUCUCCCACAACCCAGAUCAACAGAUCUAAGUACCAGAAAUUCUGACCAGAGAGAUCCGGCAAAGCCGAUCAACGGACCCAGUUACCCUAGGGAUAACAGCGCAAUCCCCUUUUAGAGCCCAUAUCGACAAGGGGGUUUACGACCUCGAUGUUGGAUCAGGACAUCCUAAUGGUGCAGCCGCUAUUAAGGGUUCGUUUGUUCAACGAUUAA